CAAAGGAAGCGAUUCCGGCGGGGGAUGGGCAUGCGGCGCAUUAGCUAGUCGGCGGGGUAACGGCCCACCGAGGCGACGAUGCGUAGGGGUUCUGAGAGGAAGGUCCCCCACACUGGUACUGAGACACGGACCAGACUCCUACGGGAGGCAGCAGUGAGGAAUAUUGGUCAAUGGGCGUAAGCCUGAACCAGCCAAGUCGCGUGAGGGAAGACGGUCCUACGGAUUGUAAACCUCUUUUGCCGGGGAGCAACGGGGUCCUUGCGAGGGCCCUAUGAGAGUACCCGGAGAAAAAGCAUCGGCUAACUCCGUGCCAGCAGCCGCGGUAAUACGGAGGAUGCGAGCGUUAUCCGGAUUUAUUGGGUUUAAAGGGUGCGUAGGCGGGCUGUUAAGUCAGCGGUCAAAUGUCGGGGCUCAACCCCGGCCUGCCGUUGAAACUGGCGGCCUCGAGUGGGCGAGAAGUAUGCGGAAUGCGUGGUGUAGCGGUGAAAUGCAUAGAUAUCACGCAGAACUCCGAUUGCGAAGGCAGCAUACCGGCGCCCUACUGACGCUGAGGCACGAAAGCGUGGGUAUCGAACAGGAUUAGAUACCCUGGUAGUCCACGCAGUAAACGAUGAAUGCUAGCUGUCCGGGACUUCGGUUCUGG
RNAcentral lists this ribosomal RNA (643 nucleotides) under uncultured bacterium. Its description in RNAcentral is "bacterial SSU rRNA". It matches the Rfam family "Bacterial small subunit ribosomal RNA", at positions 202 to 842 of the family's 1533-position model. The record is from RNAcentral.